GUGAAUCAUCGAAUUUUUGAACGCAAAUUGCACUUUCUGGUAUUCCGGAAAGUAUGCCUGUUUGAGAGUCAUUUAAAUAAAAAUCGGUGUUGUUGCUGCCUUUCGUGGUGACUCUUCGGAUUGGAGUCGUCUUACCUUCGUUUAAUCUUCUUAAAAGUUUUUCAUUAUUUUCGAACGUAGUUAAAUCGUUUACUUACGUUUGAGAUAUCAAAUGCUUAUUAGGUUCGUUCAUCCUCAUGACCCACGCCUAUAAUUUUUUCAUUAGAUGA
RNAcentral lists this unclassified non-coding RNA (269 nucleotides) under Glomeraceae sp. Its description in RNAcentral is "partial contains 5.8S ribosomal RNA and internal transcribed spacer 2". The stretch from base 1 to 71 matches the Rfam family "5.8S ribosomal RNA", at positions 84 to 154 of the family's 154-position model. The record is from RNAcentral. Lineage: Eukaryota; Fungi; Glomeromycota; Glomeromycetes; Glomerales; Glomeraceae.